Long non-coding RNA from Acinonyx jubatus (cheetah), 1003 nucleotides. RefSeq lists it as uncharacterized. The transcript is spliced from 4 exons. NCBI's taxonomy places the organism in Eukaryota, Metazoa, Chordata, Mammalia, Carnivora, Felidae. The record is from RefSeq and is a predicted model, not a curated record.
UUUUUUCAACAGAUAUUUCUAAUGCCCUAGAUUAGAAAGUGCAAGACACUUUUCUAUGCAAUCGAGUCACAGACAGAAAAGUUCCUUCUCUUGGAGAGCUUGUAUUCCUUUGAGGGAAGAUACAUCAUAUACAGCAAAAUCGAGAAUCACCAGGGUCUGCAACCAUACAGAAGACCACUAAGCCUCCUCGGAAUCAUCUGAAGAGACAACACAACUUGGCUCGACUCAGAGACCCAUUGUUGACUUGCCAUGUCAGUGCAGACUCGACAAGCUGGGAGCAGCUCGGCACAAGGGGCCUUUGUGUCUUUUCUAGUGGCGCCUGGUCAAAGGACGGGGCCACAGCAAUGGGCAUUGCAUGCCGUAUCUCAAUGCUCAUGAGAACUAUGGAAAUAAGUGAAGCGCACUCAAAUGAGAACAAGAAGAGGUUCUUUAUUCAGAACUUUCCCUUGCAAAGGGGGUUGGCCACCAUCACUCGUGUUUGGCAGCAGCUCGAAGAGAGGGGGCAGAGCUUUCCAGUGGAAGAAGGAAUGGCCUCAGGUGUCUACUGGCCAGUGAAAUACAGGACAUAAAUGAAAUAUACGACAGUGUUCUGGAGACAAGGAUUUGGAAGUUAUAGUUGUGUAAGUGCCAGUGAAAGCUUGGGGGAUGAUGAUCUCACCAAGUGUUUAUGUCUGCAAUGAGAAAAGAAGACUGAAGUCUGACUCUGCAAGGAAAUACUAGUAAUUAAGAGGCAAGUCAGGAUGAGCCUGUGAAGGAAAGACAUGACCCAACUUAUCCAGUGCUCCAAGGUGGCCUGGAGCCAGGUUUCCGGGUUAAGCCAUGAGUCAGCCAACGGUGGCUUCAGUGAAAACAGCUUCAGGUGUCAUAGCCACGUGGAAGAGAAUGGAGAUUUAACACCAGGGGUGGUGAUUGUACAUGUAUAAAAAAAACCCUGCACCCUACAACCUCUACCCAAGUCCCUUCUUGGAAACCUAGAAAAUAAAACCCAAAUAUAGUUUUACCU